GCUUCAAGCUUUUUUGUGACCAUCUCUAGGUUACGUGUGCUAACCUCAAGAAUAAGACCAAGUUCUUCAGCAAAUAGCACAUGGAGAAGGUCAUAACCAUGAGAGGGCAAAUUUAACUGUACUCCAGAAUUCCCCGCAAAUGCCAUUUCAAGAGCAGAAACAAUAAUCCCGCCAUCGCUGAUGUCGUGACCAGCAGAAAUCAAUCGAUCCGACAGAAGGUCCUGAACAGUCUCAAACACCUUUUUCAGGUAAGGGACGUCAUCAAGAUCAGGGCAGUCAUUGCCAACUUGGUCAAAUGCUUGUAGAAGAGCAGAACCACCCAAACGCCGUUUCCCCUUUGCCAGGUCGAUAUGCAGCAGAACACCAUCAUUUCCCAGCUUCAGAUCCGGAGUCACUGUCAGUGUUAUAUCUGGACAAGUAACAUAGGCACUGAUGACAAGA
This 441-nucleotide unclassified non-coding RNA is filed under the name Hevea brasiliensis (rubber tree). Lineage: Eukaryota; Viridiplantae; Streptophyta; Magnoliopsida; Malpighiales; Euphorbiaceae. The record is from RNAcentral.